UGGGGAAGAUGACGUCAACCACAAGAAACUUGGCGAUUUAGACGGAGCAUGAAGCUUGGCGGCUUGUGACACUUUAAGAACAAAUGUAUGAGAUUACAUAUGAGUCGCCAUGGUUAAUAAUAAAAGUUUAUUGGCAUGAAUAAAUUCAAGUCAAUAUGGGGCCUAAUGUUGGUGAUAUUAUACGCUGCAUGACUCGCCCUAUUGGGACGGGUCAGGUUCAUGGUGACUCAUCUCUUGUGAUCCAAAGAUGGGCUUAGACCGAGAAUAUAGAAGGUGUUGAGUGGUUUCGGAGCGAAGAGCCGGCUAGGCCCAAGAGCCUAGAUGACAACUCAGAGUCCGAGAAGAAGAAGACCUACCGUGGUGAUUCCUUGCUUGAGAGACACGACGACUUAGAGAUACACCAGGUCACGACUUGAUGAUACGUCUUGGACUCUUGUAAACCUAGCGCCUCGACCUGUAUAUAAAGGUGAGCCUCUAAGGUUGAUAGACUUAAGUUACAUUCCAUCAAGAGCUAGGUCAGGCGAGUUCUGCAUCAUUGUAAUCGAUUCCACCAUGAAUAUACACAAAGAAGGACAUAGGCUUUACCUCCAUUGGAGGGGUCAAACCUGGGUAAACCCGAGUCACGCUCUCGCUUAACCCCUUUGAGUCUCCACCAAGGUGCAAUGGCUCCAUCUCUAAGUCCUUUCACGAGGACAUCUAUCGUGACAAAACCACGACACCCGGUUUGGCUCCGCUCCAGGUAAAAUUCUGAAUACUUCGGAAGGAAGCCAGAAUCGUCCAUAGACCCGGCUACGUACCCAAGGCUUUUGGUAACCCAGCCUUACCCCGCAAGCUACCAAGAAGAGCUUACCAGACUGCCAAUCUUCCUUGGUACGCCACUCGGUGAGAGAUCCUUCUGGGAUAUGGCACUCCCAUCUUCCACAAGCAUGCUACCACGGAAAACUUACGGCAUAAGGCACAUGACCUUCCUCAGCGAGCCACAUGAAGGAAAGCAUUUAAGGCACGAUACCCAGCCUUCUUCAGGACGCUACCUUGGCAGAAGCUUCGAGUAUAAGGAAUUCAGUUUUCUUCAACAUGCCAUCGUGCCUGCAACAAGCUUGUUGGAAGCAUGAACUAGUCCGGCCACAUCCACCUCAGAACUCGGUGGUUAUGAAAGGGAUCCUACACCUACAUAUGUUGUGAGCAUGCAGUCUAGUGGAUCAGUUCAUGCGAGCAACUCGUACACAUGAGUGACUGUGUUUAGAGAAACAUUGGCCCUAUGUUUAAAACAAGAAUAUGAGCACAUCAACCCCUAUAAGGUAUGCAAGAGUAAGAUCUGAGAACGAGCCCAAUGAACCGGGAAAACAAUCAAGGAGCCGUGUGGGCAGGUCAUUACAGAUCCAUCAAAGGAAUCCUCGAGCACAAAGAAGUGUUGAACAAACAACCUCCGUGACGGUCAACAAGACACAGUUUCACAGUGAGGUAUUACCAACCCUUGUCAGACUCUUGCAUACGCGGCCACAUCAAUGCCCUACCUACGGCUACAAACGAGCGCCGCACUCCUCACGAAUAUGGGUCAUUAACCAAGAUAGGAGGCUAUGCUCUAAAAGAUACACUAGAUGAUAGUGAUACUAUGGUCAUCUGAGUGGUCAUAGCAAGGACUACGGAGGCUAUAUAUAGGACAGAGCCAUAUCCAUGAGCGACCAAGUUUGAAACAAGACAUUCAGAUAGAAUGUCUCAAAGCACAUCAGCAUCAACAUCUCAUAGAAUCAUGACAUCGUUAGGAUAAGAGAUUACUGUCUAUAUUUAUUUUGCGUCCAUGUGUGACAUUUCAGUUGGGGAUAUAGUAGCAAUGGCUCGGUCAUGUUGUUCCUUGAAUUAUGGACCAUUUAUAAGGACAAAGUUAGAGUGCCUAAGACAGAAGGAAAUAUUCGUAUGAAACCCACAACCAAACCGGACAUUCUAGCAUGGCAAAAGAAAGCCAAUACCACCCACUCAAGACCAUACGAGCACGUAAGCGUGGUACCAGGCAAGGAUGUCUUGCCCACGACAGUCAAGGUACGAAGUAUCGCAAUAAAACAAAAGCAUUUACUUUCGGGCCAUGGAAACCGAGUCGUCUGUUGGUACUACUGCUAGCCCACUCAACAACACCACUACCAGGACAAAAGGUACACUUGACAGGAAAGAGAAUGAUUCAAGGAAACUGUAUGAAUAGACAACACAUGGUCCAUCAGAAGAGGCAGUUAACGGGGUCAGUGAACCAACGAAGAUAGGAACGCAUGAAGGGUCCACGGAGAAGCAACCAUGUCUAUUCCACCAUGGCUUACGUCCAUGAAGUAAUAGCCGCACUUGGGGUAGAUCUUCAUGAACUAGGUGAUCUCCUUGCCCUUACAAAAUUCUUGGUUCACUCAUACGUCUCCAACGUAUCUAUAAUUUUUGAUUGUUACAUGCUAUUACAUUAUCAACUUGGG
This 2450-nucleotide long non-coding RNA is filed under the name Hordeum vulgare. Its description in RNAcentral is "long non-coding RNA (HVUL_LNC005371)". The record is from RNAcentral. Lineage: Eukaryota; Viridiplantae; Streptophyta; Magnoliopsida; Poales; Poaceae.